Molecule: ribosomal RNA, 426 nt
Filed under: uncultured bacterium
Lineage: Bacteria
Description: bacterial SSU rRNA
Rfam family: Bacterial small subunit ribosomal RNA
Source: RNAcentral
AUUAGGAAUCUUACGCAAUGGGGGAAACCCUGACGUAGCGACACUGCGUGGAGGAUGAAGGCUUUCGGGUUGUAAACUCCUUUUAUUGUCUGACAAGUUCUGAGUGGACUUUGAAUAAGCACCUGCUAACUGCGUGCCAGAAGCAUCGGUGAUGCGUGGGGUGCAAGCGUUAUCCGGAAUUAUUGGGCGUAAAGAGAAGCGUAGGUGUUCCUGCAUGUCCCUUGUUAAAGACCUCGGCUUAACCGAGGAAAAGCAUGGGAAACUGCAGGAAUUGAGGCAGAGAGGGGGAAGUGGAAUUCCCGGUGGAGCGGUGAAAUGCGUUGAUAUCGGGAGGAACACCAGUGGCGAAGGCGACUUCCUGGCUCUGCUCUGACACUAAGGCUCGAAAGCGUGGGGAGCGAAACGGAUUAGAAACCCUGGUAGUCC